This 542-nucleotide ribosomal RNA is filed under the name uncultured Gigasporaceae. Its description in RNAcentral is "SSU rRNA". It matches the Rfam family "Eukaryotic small subunit ribosomal RNA", at positions 548 to 1098 of the family's 1831-position model. Lineage: Eukaryota; Fungi; Glomeromycota; Glomeromycetes; Diversisporales; Gigasporaceae. The record is from RNAcentral.
UUGGAGGGCAAGUCUGGUGCCAGCAGCCGCGGUAAUUCCAGCUCCAAUAGCGUAUAUUAAAGUUGUUGCAGUUAAAAAGCUCGUAGUUGAAUUUCGGGGUUCUACCGUUGGUCGGGCUAUUGUCUGUACUGGCGUGUAGAAUUUCUACCUUCUGGGGAACUAUCAUGUUAUUAAUUUAGCGUGGUAGGAAACCAGAACCUUUACCUUGAAAAAAUUAGAGUGUUCAAAGCAGGCUUAUGUCUGAAUACAUUAGCAUGGAAUAAUAAAAUAGGACGGUGGUCCUGCUUUGUUGGUUUCUGAAUCACCGUAAUGAUUAAUAGGGAUAGUUGGGGGCAUUAGUAUUCAAUUGUCAGAGGUGGAAUUCUUGGAUUUAUUGAAGACUAACUACUGCGAAAGCAUUUGCCAAGGAUGUUUUCAUUAAUCAGGAACGAAAGUUAGGGGAUCGAAGACGAUCAGAUACCGUCGUAGUCUUAACCAUAAACUAUGCCGACUAGGGAUCGGACGAUGUUAAAAAUUGACUCGUUCGGCGCCUUACGGGAAAC